Molecule: long non-coding RNA, 1583 nt
Organism: Physcomitrium patens
Lineage: Eukaryota; Viridiplantae; Streptophyta; Bryopsida; Funariales; Funariaceae
Source: RefSeq, a predicted model, not a curated record
AAAAUUCAGGGUUAAUACAUUAAGCACAACUGAGCAUGCGCUGAUAGAGCUACCACUUUCAUGUUUACUUACCUGGUUCACAUGUGGCCAAGAUAUCUCCUCAUCGUCAUAUUCUUGUGUACAAUGCCUCAUGAGCUUUUGACUUGCAUUUCUGAGCUUCAGGAUCUGUGUGUAAAAUGAAAUAUUGUACCUCUGUAAAAAGUCUCCUUCCUGGACAGGUACACGACUUUUAGUUUUUGGAGAUGCUAAAGAUUGGCUGGGCUAUCCAAUGAAGGAGACUUUUGAUGUUGUUAACAUGCAAAGUAGAGAGGCGUUGUGAAUGAUACUCUUCUGUGUGCAUUUGUGGUUUGGUAUGAGAAGGAAUCACUUUUGCUUACUGUCUAUACAAAGCCUCACUAUUGAGCCUUGUUCAAGUAAAAUAACCUCUCGUAGUCAGCUGUUUUCAACUUUCAAGACGAUAAUGCAUUGCGACAUUUUGCUGGAUCUGCGUUUUACGCUACAAGAACAUACAGCUUAUGUUUUUACACGAUCUACGUAUACGAGUCUCCAAACGUUGUUGACAAGAAGUUCAGAAACAGUUGCAGAUAGACUUUGAAAAUAUACCUCCGAAGAUGAGCCUGAAAGGUUAAGUCAGAUGCAAAACAGAACAGGCUCACAUGACAAGUAUCGCACAGGGAUGAACAAUGGCUGCUUUCAAGGGCAACAAAGUCUACACCACACAUGCUAUUUGAUGAAGAGCGCCUUAUGAAGCUCAAGGUGGUAGAGCCUUGGGAAAGAUCAUGGAACCAGCAAAUCCGUCUUCAGCUUCAAUUCUGUUCUUUCCAGUGACAGAAGUAAUCCCGUCGUCGAAUAAGGUGGGCAGCCAUCUUCCUCGAAACCAAUUAAAAUUACACUAUCACUUACAUCCUACUUCUAUAAAGUAGGCCUACAACAAGCUCCAGGUUAAUCCCAAGUUAACAGCCGAGACGGAAUUGGUUCAUGGGCAUGGCGCAUCAAUUGCUGAAGAAAGACUUUAUGAUAUUAAUGUUGUUGUUGGGGCCCGUUUUGUUUUUUUUGUUUUUUUUUAAAUUUUUUAUUGUGAGCUAGUCUUUGGAUGCUUUUGCCCAUCAUCGAUGGCAAGAGGCUGAUUGUUAGAAUCCAAGAGAAAUGCCCUCACUCCCUGGGCGAUUAUGGUGCACGCCAUGUUGUCUGAUUUAGGACAUUACAAGCUUAAAUCAGAUAAGCAAGGCAUUUUCUUUCAAUGUGUGCACAUUGUAGCAGCUCUGCCUUCUAGGAAAUUGAUAGUUCUCUGUUUGCGGAUGACUUCACCUUCUUGAUAGAGGAUAGGAGAGCCAUUACUAAUCUCGACAAUAAAGCCACCUAAGCAAUGUUAUAUGGGUGAACUUUUUUCAUGUAAUCAGAAUGAUGUUGUAGGGAACUUCUACAUACAUGUGUAGUAUAUUUGUAGAAUAUGCAGAUAGGUAUGUAUAUAUAUGUAUAUAUAGUUGUAUAUAGUGAUUUGAAGAGACCUGUCUAUAAGCAUGUUAUUUAAGUUCAAACUUUCAUGUAUUGAUAUUAUUAUUAUUUUAAAAUUUCUACUCAUU